GACGAACGCUGGCGGCGUGCUUAACACAUGCAAGUCGAACGGAAAGGCCCUGCUUUUGUGGGGUGCUCGAGUGGCGAACGGGUGAGUGACACGUGAGUAACCUGCCCUUGACUUUGGGAUAACUUCAGGAAACUGGGGCGAAUACCGGAGAGGAGCUCCUGCUGCAUGGGGGGGGAUGGAAAGUGACGGCGGUUGGGGAUGGACUCGCGGCUUAUGAGCUUGUUGGUGGGGUAGGGGAUUACCAAGGCUUUGACGGGUAGCCGGCCUGAGAGGGUGACCGGCCACAUUGGGACUGCGAUACGGACCAGACUCCUACGGGCGGCAGCAGUGGGGAAUAUUGCACAGUGGGCGGAAGCCUGAUGCAGCAACGCCGCGUGCGGGAUGCCGUCCUUCGGGUUGUAAACCGCUUUCGCCUGUGACGAAGCGUGAGUGACGGUAAUGGGUCAAGAAGCACCGGCUAACUACGUG
This 468-nucleotide ribosomal RNA is filed under the name uncultured bacterium. RNAcentral's name for it is "partial 16S ribosomal RNA". It matches the Rfam family "Bacterial small subunit ribosomal RNA", at positions 28 to 507 of the family's 1533-position model. The record is from RNAcentral.